This 415-nucleotide ribosomal RNA is filed under the name uncultured prokaryote. RNAcentral's name for it is "bacterial SSU rRNA". It matches the Rfam family "Bacterial small subunit ribosomal RNA", at positions 505 to 918 of the family's 1533-position model. The record is from RNAcentral.
GUGUCAGCCGCCGCGGUAAUACAGAGGGUUCGAGCGUUAAUCGGAAUCACUGGGCUUAAAGCGUGCGUAGGCGGCCCUGCAAGUAUCUUGUGAAAGCCCACGGCUCAACCGUGGAACUGCUUGGUAGACUGCAGGGCUUGAGCCCGACAGAGGUCGUCGGAACUCUAGGUGGAGCGGUGAAAUGCGCAGAUAUCUAGGGGAACGCCAAAGGUGAAGACAGGCGACUGGGUCGGAGCUGACGCUCAGGCACGAAAGCGUGGGUAGCGAACGGGAUUAGAUACCCCGGUAGUCCACGCCCUAAACGAUGUGCACUAGAUCGAGGAGGUUUUGACGCCAUCUCGGUCGUAGCGAAAGCGUUAAGUGCACCGCCUGGGGAGUACGGUCGCAAGGCUAAAACUCAAAUGAAUUGACGGGG